GUCGUCUAGUGAAGAAGUUGGGCAGCUGCCGUCUAAUGAAAUAGUGACAAAUUUUGUGUUGGUUUCUCCUAAUAAUCAGUUAUUUCUUCUGAUUAACUAGUUUACUAACAAAGUUUUGACUGAAGCUGUUAUACAAGUGUGUCCUCGUUAUGUCUCACAACUCUCACGUGGUCUCAUCCCAUUGCCUCGACAAACUGGAUCGGGUCUUCUAGAAUCUAUCGGGCCCCCACUUUUAAUCCAGGUGUAUGUUUCGUGUACACAUCCCUCUCGAGAGCAAUGCGAUACGUCCACUGAGAAGUUUGUCGAUACAUUGGCCAACACCUGACGUCAUCAUUUUUCUCUGGGGGUCGACAUUUCGUAUUGAGGGGAUCGACUGGAGCCAAAUGUCAAACUCGGACUUUGUAGUGUAGCAGGGAAUAACGUGAAGACGUUGAAAGUUUCACACGACACUUUCACGCUUGUUGGCAGCGGCUGAACUACUUGACGUCUCCCUUCGAAGAAAAUCGUGCGAUUGGCGAAAGGCUUUGGGCAUCGUGUCGCUCCACGUGACGUGCGGUUUUUUCGUUUCCGUCGCGGCUGCCGCUCCAGCAAGUGUCGAAGAGGAUCCCAUGCCGAAGCCUUUGUACGACCGUGGUAGGGUGGCCGGUCCAAAAUCGCACGACCCUGUGAAGAAUUAAGAAACAAAAAACACGACCCUUUCGUUAAUUGGUUUCGACGUGAAAAGAGAACUAUCUGUCGUGUACGGAGGUGUGAUGAGUCCGGCUUCAAUCGACUGCUGAUGCGUCAUCAUCAUGUUCGGCGGAGGCGGGGGAGGAGGCAGCGAUGG
Long non-coding RNA from Daphnia pulicaria, 826 nucleotides. RefSeq lists it as uncharacterized. The transcript has 4 exons. The record is from RefSeq and is a predicted model, not a curated record. NCBI's taxonomy places the organism in Eukaryota, Metazoa, Arthropoda, Branchiopoda, Diplostraca, Daphniidae.